UUCUCUUAGAAUUUGGAGUUGGCGGGUUGGUUUCAAAAUUAAAAACCAAAUUCUUUUACUAGAGGCGUUCAAAAGCGCUAUUUUAUUCUCACAUAAUUUAUACCCAAAAAGAAAAUAUAAUCCUUAGUUCACCCUCUUCUUAUCUUCAUCGUCCUCUUCCCUUACUCUUCUUCUCGCCAGCAGAACCCUUUUGCUUCAUGGUCUAUCACUGAGCUACUAUGCGCGUUGAAGAAGGGGGACGUUGUGGAGCUAACCCAGGUUAUGGGAAAGGCUUCGAGAUUGAUUAGAUCGAACCGCUGGAGAAUUAUCCUACGGUUCUAAUUUUCACAACGGGAUAUGGAAUCAGGUCUCUGAUUGAAUUAGGGUUUAAUGUUGAUAAGGGAUUUGACGUGAAGCUCUUCUAUGGGGCCAGAAACCUUGACAGAAUGGCUUAUCCGUGCUAAGAAUGCUGGGAGUGAAGGCGUGGAGAUAAAGAAACCAUAGCAGCUCAAAACCGUGGCCUCACUCAUAAUCCCUGAAGGAGAGAGCACCACCAUGGCUAAGCUCAUAGAGUACCACAACCUGGUCUCUCUAUCACUCACCCAAACAGUCUCUAUUAUUUGUUGAUUUGUUUAAAGCUUUUUACUUAAUUACUCCUGGGCUCAAUAUGUAUAUGCCUACUUCUACAACAGUCGAUAUUUUUUUUGGCAUAUUACAGAGUCAACAUUCUUUGUUGUUUUCUUUCCAUUGCACCUAACUUCAAGUUUUGUAUACCAGUCCAAUACUCAUCUUAUUGCUGUGCUAGUUUUGUUUCCUGAUGUUGCUCUUUGUGCGGCUAUUGUAGCUAAUCUCAACAUGAAGAGUGGUAAGAAACUGAGAACUUUUAAUGUUUUUUUUUCCUCUGUUUGUCGCCAUUAUUGACUACUUUGCAAUUGGAUGUUAUUGUUUUUUUUUAACUUCAGAGUUCGGAAGUGUUGGCUUAUCUCUGAAUACUAUGUAUUGUACUCUGAAUAGCUUGCUAAGAGAUUGGAUUAGAUUGGGUUUUUUCUCUCUCUUUUUUUAACUGUACUAAUUUUGGAAAAUAUUUUAACUUGCGAAACAUCCCAAUCAGACAUUUACGCAGUGAUGAAGAGGAGGCUGGUUGUGAUUGGCAAGUUGCUGGUUUUGUGUCUUCCACAUGAUUUUUUUUUUUGGCCAAAAUCAUUCACAUAGGAUUGGAAUUUGAAUACCAUGAUCAAGAACAAACAAAGAGGCGGGGACAUGAACCAAAACCCCUCAACCAAAAACAGAUGGCAUAAAGCCAAAUGAGCAAAAAGCCAUAAGGCGAAUACAAAGUAAUAACAUGAAGCUUGAAAUAUGUAAAGCAUGCUUAGAUCAAAGGUUCAAUCUUACAGUUUGCGUCCUACUUUAGAUAGGAUAAUGAGCAUGCAUGCUAAUAGCUUGUCAAAAAGCUUAGAUUAGAUAGGUUUUUCCUUUGUUUAUCUCUUUUCUGUUCCUAUUUUGUUUGAGAAUGCUACAACUUAUGCACUUCCCAUCCAUAAAUGAUCCCUGUUAUAAAGACAAGGCUGGUUGUGAUGGUAGGUUCCUAGUCUUGUUCUUCGCAUGUGCUUGAACUUUGAAGACCAUGAUCACUUUUUGUCCUGUGCUACUCAUUGCUUUAAGCUUAUGAAUUUGCAUCUGCAUCACCAUGUUCAGCCUACUUCGAAUAGAUGCAGCUGAAGUAUUUGUCUUUUAAAGUUUGUCCUUAAGGAGUGUUUGACUAAAUCACACCCAAAAUUCUUACUAUAAAUGUUGAGCCCUACAGUUGAACCAAACUUGAAUACAUUACUAACAUUACUGUUUUGGACCUUGUAGAAUGCAUUUGAGCUCGCCUUCUUCAUUUGGGUUCCAGUAUGUAAAGAUGGUGUGGCUGUGAUCAGGGUUAUCAAUAAAUGAUUGUCAGUGGGUAUGAUGGUGUAGAAUUUUAAUUGAAUUAUAUGUGAAUGCAGAGAUGGCAUCUAAGAAUCCGAAAAGAGGAAUAAAACGGUUCUUAGAGCAAUCUGCUGCUGAGAAGGUUAAUGAGAGAAAAUCUGAAUGUGAUCAUGCCAGGUCAAAGAGGUUGAAAACAAGUGAGUAUGGAUUUUACGUUUUGUUAAAUAUUGGCAUUUAUAGAUAAUGAGGAAAGAUAAUUGAUUGUGUGGAAGUAUGAAGACCAGCAAUAUCUUGAUGCCUCUUCUAGAAUACAGACUAUGGUCUCGCAUAAGCAACCACUCUCUCUAAGGUGGGUGUCCUUCUUCACAAUUGCUGGUGUUGUUUUGAAAUUGAAGCUUGCAUCACCUAGACAGUAAGAGACCUUACAUGUCAACUAUCAACAUAUGCAUUCCUCCAACCACUAGUCUGCAGGUGGGCAAUUUGGACUUACUGUGUUCAGUGGAGGCCUGCAGACAGAAUCAAGAAGAGUAGUACAUAGUGGAGAGAUGGGUUCAGCCUUGGCAACAACGGGAUCAAAUGUGUAUGAUUGAAGAAUGGUGAAGAGGGCCAUCAUAUUAGAGGUAGAUAUAUCAAAGCACAUCAAUUACAACCGUUAUAUGUGACAGAGUUGCAAAAGCUUGUCCAUCUUUCUCUUGGAUUUUGUUGUCAUGGAAGUACUGAAAUUGUUAGGCUUUUAAAUUAGUUUUUUAAGGGACAUGUAUUUGUAAACAUGAUCAAUAAGUGAUAAUGUGGAUUGUCUUCAGCAAUACAAUGUAUUUAGUUUAAUAUAGUUUCUACUAUAUAGAAGUUUGAUCA
Rosa chinensis is the source of this 2745-nucleotide RNA transcript. RefSeq lists it as uncharacterized. NCBI's taxonomy places the organism in Eukaryota, Viridiplantae, Streptophyta, Magnoliopsida, Rosales, Rosaceae. The transcript has 7 exons. The record is from RefSeq and is a predicted model, not a curated record.